UAAGUGCUUAGGUUCCAGCUUCCUAACCAUCUUGCCUUUUCUUUCCUUGGCCAGGGUAUCUGGGAGUUCCUAGAUGUCUUGUCUGCUGAAACAUCUAAGAGAAGAGACAACCAAGGAGACUGCUCAGUUGUGUCCAAGGAAUUCUGUCUGGGCAAGUUCCAAGGUCCAACACAGUACUUGACAUGGACUUCAAUAAGGUCCAUCCUCAAACUAGAUUUCAUAGACUCGAUUCAACUAGAUGGCAGCACUGCUCAUCCUGGCCUCACUAUCAUGAAUUUCGUUGUAUGUGUA
This is a non-coding RNA of Pogona vitticeps (central bearded dragon), 291 nucleotides long. Lineage: Eukaryota; Metazoa; Chordata; Lepidosauria; Squamata; Agamidae. The record is from RefSeq and is a predicted model, not a curated record.